CGUAGGGCGCGAGCGUUGUCCGGAUUUAUUGGGCGUAAAGAGCUCGUAGGCGGCUUGUUGCGUCAGCUGUGAAAACCCGCAGCUCAACUGUGGGCUUGCAGCUGAUACGGGCAGGCUUGAGUUCGGUAGGGGAGACUGGAAUUCCUGGUGUAGCGGUGAAAUGCGCAGAUAUCAGGAGGAACACCGGUGGCGAAGGCGGGUCUCUGGGCCGAUACUGACGCUGAGGAGCGAAAGCGUGGGGAGCGAACAGGAUUAGAUACCCUGGUAGUCCACGCUGUAAACGUUGGGCGCUAGGUGUGGGGGGCCUCUCCGGUUCUCUGUGCCGCAGCUAACGCAUUAAGCGCCUCGCCUGGGGAGUACGGCCGCAAGGCUA
Molecule: ribosomal RNA, 373 nt
Filed under: uncultured organism
Description: bacterial SSU rRNA
Rfam family: Bacterial small subunit ribosomal RNA
Source: RNAcentral